AAGCCAGCCAGUGAAUCUACCUACCUCAUUGUGUUUGUGCAGACAUACUUUAAAAACUGGCAAUAGCAAAGCCAUGUUACAAGCCUAAGGACAUGGAAGCCAUUAAGGUCCCUGAAAAUGGCUAUAAAA
Small nucleolar RNA from Callithrix jacchus (white-tufted-ear marmoset), 129 nucleotides. The record is from Ensembl. NCBI's taxonomy places the organism in Eukaryota, Metazoa, Chordata, Mammalia, Primates, Cebidae.